This 253-nucleotide ribosomal RNA is filed under the name uncultured bacterium. Its description in RNAcentral is "partial 16S ribosomal RNA". It matches the Rfam family "Bacterial small subunit ribosomal RNA", at positions 524 to 776 of the family's 1533-position model. The record is from RNAcentral.
UACGUAGGGUGCAAGCGUUGUCCGGAAUUAUUGGGCGUAAAGAGCUCGUAGGCGGUCUGUUGCGUCGGCUGUGAAAACCCGGGGCUCAGCUCCGGGCCUGCAGCCGAUACGGGCAGACUAGAGUUCGGUAGGGGAGACUGGAAUUCCUGGUGUAGCGGUGAAAUGCGCAGAUAUCAGGAGGAACACCGGUGGCGAAGGCGGGUCUCUGGGCCGAUACUGACGCUGAGGAGCGAAAGCGUGGGGAGCGAACAGG